UACAGAGGGUGCAAGCGUUGCUCGGAUUUACUGGGCGUAAGGCGUACGCAGACGGUGAGAAAGGUCGGAUGUGAAAGCCCCGGGCUCAACCCGGGAACUGCAUCCGAAACCAUCUCGCUAGAGUAUGGGAGAGGGAAGCAGAAUUCCUGGUGUAGAGGUGAAAUUCGUAGAUAUCAGGAGGAAUACCUGCGGCGAAGGCGGCUUCCUGGCCCAUUACUGACGUUCAGGUACGAAAGCGUGGGUAGCAAACAGG
Molecule: ribosomal RNA, 253 nt
Filed under: uncultured bacterium
Lineage: Bacteria
Description: partial 16S ribosomal RNA
Rfam family: Bacterial small subunit ribosomal RNA
Source: RNAcentral